GACGAACGCUGGCGGCGUGCUUAACACAUGCAAGUCGAACGGAAAGGCCUGCAGCUUGCUGCGGGUACUCGAGUGGCGAACGGGUGAGUAACACGUGGGUGAUCUGCCUUGCACUUCGGGAUAAGCUUGGGAAACUGGGUCUAAUACCGGAUAGGACAGCUGUUUAGUGUCAGUUGUGGAAAGUUUUUUCGGUGCAAGAUGAGCUCGCGGCCUAUCAGCUUGUUGGUGGGGUAAUGGCCUACCAAGGCGUCGACGGGUAGCCGGCCUGAGAGGGUGUACGGCCACAUUGGGACUGAGAUACGGCCCAGACUCCUACAGGAGGCAGCAGUGGGGAAUAUUGCACAAUGGGCGGAAGCCUGAUGCAGCGACGCCGCGUGGGGGAUGAAGGCCUUCGGGUUGUAAACUCCUUUCGACAGGGACGAAGCGUAAGUGACGGUACCUGUAUAAGAAGCACCGGCUAACUACGUGCCAGCAGCCGCGGUAAUACGUAGGGUGCGAGCGUUGUCCGGAAUUACUGGGCGUAAAGAGCUCGUAGGUGGUUUGUCGCGUCGUCUGUGAAAUUCCGGGGCUUAACUCCGGGCGUGCAGGCGAUACGGGCUGACUUGAGUGCUGUAGGGGAGACUGGAAUUCCUGGUGUAGCGGUGAAAUGCGCAGAUAUCAGGAGGAACACCGAUGGCGAAGGCAGGUCUCUGGGCAGUAACUGACGCUGAGGAGCGAAAGCAUGGGUAGCGAACAGGAUUAGAUACCCUGGUAGUCCAUGCCGUAAACGGUGGGCGCUAGGUGUAGGGGGCUUCCACGUCUUCUGUGCCGUAGCUAACGCAUUAAGCGCCCCGCCUGGGGGAGUACGGCCCGCAGGCUA
RNAcentral lists this ribosomal RNA (859 nucleotides) under uncultured Actinomycetes bacterium. RNAcentral describes it as "bacterial SSU rRNA". It matches the Rfam family "Bacterial small subunit ribosomal RNA", at positions 28 to 896 of the family's 1533-position model. Lineage: Bacteria; Bacillati; Actinomycetota; Actinomycetes. The record is from RNAcentral.